Molecule: ribosomal RNA, 258 nt
Filed under: uncultured bacterium
Lineage: Bacteria
Description: partial 16S ribosomal RNA
Rfam family: Bacterial small subunit ribosomal RNA
Source: RNAcentral
GAUCCUGGCUCAGGAUAAACGCUGGCGGCGUGCUUAACACAUGCAAGUCGAACGAAGUUUUUCUUUCGGGAGAAACUUAGUGGCGGACGGGUGAGUAACGCGUGGGUAACCUGCCCUGUACAGGGGAACAACAGCUGGAAACGGCUGCUAAUACCGCAUAAGCCCUUAGCACUGCAUGGUGCAUAGGGAAAAGGNGUAAUCCGGUACAGGAUGGACCCGCGUCUGAUUAGCCAGUUGGCAGGGUAACGGCCUACCAAG